Topomyia yanbarensis is the source of this 1300-nucleotide long non-coding RNA. RefSeq lists it as uncharacterized. The transcript is spliced from 2 exons. NCBI's taxonomy places the organism in Eukaryota, Metazoa, Arthropoda, Insecta, Diptera, Culicidae. The record is from RefSeq and is a predicted model, not a curated record.
GACAUUGCGGCUCUACUACGAACGGGUCUCGUCUUGGUGUGUGCAGUUUCGCGUUGUCAGUUGACUUUUGAUCGUCGCUUGGCAAAGAAUGUGAUUUGUCGCUUGAGUUGAUAAUCGCGCCUCCGCGGACACACUGCAGUUUCAAUCUCGAGCCACAUAGGCAUACCUACCGAGUUUUAAGCCUCGUUCGUAACCGUAGGAGACCGAAACCAGUCGAGUGUCAGUGUGGUGCAACGAUCAGUGCGACAUCUGAUGAGACUCUGCACGGAGAAGGUUGAUAGUGAAUGCGCUGAGUUGUCCCUCUUUGGUGACGAUUCGCAAUCGCAGCGGUGGUGGUGGUGACUCGGUGGCGGCAGAGCGCUGGAUCGCAUAUUUAGGUGAAAAACUUGUUUUCUUCCAGUCUUGCACUACGGGUAGGUACUGCCCGUUUGCAUACUUUUGAACAAGCAACAGCCUCAACCGGUCAGCCUAGAUGGACAAAGCUCUAUCAGAUGCACCAAAUACCGAAGCGAAAUGAAAAUAUUGCCUCUCCAGUUGCUGUUUACGUGAAGUACGCGAGGGCCGUUGGUACAAGAAGGAAGAAAUACUCGGUGUGUGCAGAGUUAGCUAAAGGAAAAGUUACAGCCGUCGUCGAGUGUGUGUUAUUGGAAAAGCAAAGUUAUUCCGUGAAAUAAGAGCAAGCAACUUAGGUAUGCGCACAAUUGAAGCCAGAAGAGAGCGGUAGAAGGAUAAGUGGAUUUGUGCGGUUAUUCGUUUGCAUUCCCCGCAGGGUAGCUCUGAAAUUUUCCACACAUCCUGACAGGAAACGUAAGCCUGGUAAGGUACUGGAGUGCGUGUAUUAUUUAUCGGGAUCGAAACAUCGGGCAGAGUUCCAGUGCCUUUGGAAGAGUGAGAUAGAAAGAAUAUCCAGUUGUUUGGAGAAAAUCUGCGAUGGAGCAUAAGUGCAGGGUUUACAGUUUUCCACUGUGGCAAUAAUAGAUCGAGUCUCAGCGCUAGCAUUGUCACCGUUAGUGGAAAUUAUCUUGUGAAAAGUUAGCUGAAAAGAAAAGUGUGCUACUAGAGGAAAGCCAGUCCGAUUCAUCGAAAUCAAAGAGUUGAGUGUCUGGUGUCACGGUUAGGCUCCAGGAAGGUAAAAUCUUCCCAAGUGGAUCGAAUCAAUCGAAGCGCCAGGUAAUGUGAAGAAAGUGGCUAAUCGUGAAAUUAGGAGAAAAAAAAGUCGAAGCAAGCAGUAAGAAGCAAUAAAGAAGCGCGAAAUAGCUAAUAAGAAAGUGUUUGUGGAGCGCGGAGCGUGCGAGUGAGC